AGUGUAGGCGGCUAUUUAAGUCGGAUGUGAAAGCCCCGGGCUCAACCUGGGAAUUGCAUCCGAAACUGAAUAGCUAGAGUUUGGUAGAGGUAAGUGGAAUUCCGGGUGUAGCGGUGAAAUGCGUAGAUAUCCGGGGAACAUCAGUGGCGAAGGCGGCUUACUGGACCAAAACUGACGCUGAGGCUCGAAAGCGUGGGGAGCAAACAGGAUUAGAUACCCUGGUAGUCC
Molecule: ribosomal RNA, 228 nt
Filed under: uncultured bacterium
Lineage: Bacteria
Description: partial 16S ribosomal RNA
Rfam family: Bacterial small subunit ribosomal RNA
Source: RNAcentral